Long non-coding RNA from Lytechinus pictus (painted urchin), 4582 nucleotides. RefSeq lists it as uncharacterized. NCBI's taxonomy places the organism in Eukaryota, Metazoa, Echinodermata, Echinoidea, Temnopleuroida, Toxopneustidae. The transcript has 4 exons. The record is from RefSeq and is a predicted model, not a curated record.
UAAAAAUAGUAUGCUGCCACCACAAUAGUUUAGAGAGUUAUUGAGCUCUUGGCCAAGCAUAAUUUAACACUUGACCGUAAUGAAGAAACUUUUCUUCGAUGAGAACUUUAAAGAGCUAGUGAACCACCAAUCAGAAUAGCUAUCUCAUGAUCCAUAAUAUCUGAGUUCUACUACGAGCUCCGCGAUUGGUCCAUCUUCUUGCAUCGACCGCCAACUUUUAGCCUCUCCAUUCUGCCAGAACCACAGAGGUUGAAGGAGCUCCGAUGAUCUGAAGAAAACCGUCUUUUCUCCCAUCACAAGACUUCUGUCAUACUCCAGCGUCCUGACCUUCACAGCAGAAUUUAACUGGUGUUGGAGAAGGUAACAGCAAAUCUACCGGCAGACUGAUUUCUCUUCCAAGCAUCAUCAUAGCAGGACUCUCUCCAGUUGAUUCCUGGACUGCUGAUCUGUAUGCCAACAUCGCGAACGGAAUCCUCUCAUCCCAGUCCUUCUGUUCGUCAUCUGGAUUGAGCAAUGACGACACCAUACCCAUCUUCUAAAAUCUCCUACAAUGUCGGCAAUCGGUGCAAGGCCGUCUGGAUAACCCAUCAGCAUUCAAGUGGACACGUCCAGCACGAUGCUCUAAGGUGACGACUGCACAGCAUCCCCUACUGCUCUGACGUGACGUGGCCUAAUCCUCUCUCGUGACUUCUCCGUCUGUAGAAAAGACUCUGUCGUCAACGCAGCUGUAAUCGCCUCUUCAAGCGUUCUAGGAUGAGCCCGGAAAAUGGCAGCCCUGAUUUCACCAUCUUCAAUUGCUUCUGAAAAGUGUCCACGAGCAAGCCUCUCUCUAGCAUCGUUGCUCAGCUCCGGGUAGGCUAGGCAAGUCAAAUCUCUAAUUGCCUGACCUAAUUCCUGUAGACUCUCCUUCGGCUGUCGACGCCUAGUCCUCAACUCCAGCAAGAAAUUUUCAGCAUUCUCUCUUGGUCCAAAUCGUCGCUCCAAAUGGGAAGUGAGAUUGGAGUACGUAAGUUCUUGUCCAACUGGAAUAUUAUUCAAGACCUUCAGUGCAGCGCCUUGCAGUCUCGUGGCAAGAUAUUGUCCAGCCUCGACAUCAUCCCAAUUAUUCAAUCUUCUGCAGACGUCAAAGUGUCGGCAAUAGUCCGUCCAUGGUACCUUCCCAGCAAACUUAUCCGGCAAAACGUCCCUAGCUCCAGAUCCUCUCAGUUUCUUCGGGUCGGUCGUUUGGUGACUCCCAACAUAGGAAGCAUUAUUUCGGAAUUGAGUUGGCGUAUAAACCUGGCGCCUCUCCGCAGGAAUAGCAUCUCCAUAAUUUGCCAUGUCUACCGCUAUCUCCGGAUCCUGCUCAUCUAAUACCCAGCUCCUCUGGACUCCAUUAUUUCCAGGAUCUCCUGCUGCCAACUCAGCACUUGGUUCCAUCAUACCGAGUGCUAUAAUGUUUAAUAUAUUUGGAUGUAUGUUUAUUUUCUUGUGUUUAAGUAUAAACAUACAUGUUUUAGAUUGUGUCAAGCAAACGUACCCUUACAUUGUAAAAGGAAUAGAUACAUUGUAAAAGGAGUAGAUUUCCUUAUUAUUCACAGUGAUUAAUUCACUGUCAUGUCCAUAGACAUAUAAAUGCUCAUUUUCCAUAUUCAAUCUUAACUUAUUUAAUGCACACUUGUAAUAAGGAACUCAAAACACAACUUAUUUAUUAUACAUAGCUUAAACAAUACAUUCUUAAAUAUCUACUAGUACCGUACACAACUAUACAUAAUAAUAGCAAAAUUUUUAUAUACUUAAUACAGAUCAUUCUACUACUUAGCAGACAAAAAUGUACCGGUAUUUUUUUUUUUUCUUUUAAAAGUGGAGGGGUUCUUUGAAAAGACCAUCCCACCGCCGUGCCACCAAAAAUGUAACGUGAGACCCUAUCAAAAUAACCUUUUAAAAAUAGUAUGCUGCCACCACAAUAGUUUAGAGAGUUAUUGAGCUCUUGGCCAAGCAUAAUUUAACACUUGACCGUAAUGAAGAAACUUUUCUUCGAUGAGAACUUUAAAGAGCUAGUGAACCACCAAUCAGAAUAGCUAUCUCAUGAUCCAUAAUAUCUGAGUUCUACUACGAGCUCCGCGAUUGGUCCAUCUUCUUGCAUCGACCGCCAACUUUUAGCCUCUCCAUUCUGCCAGAACCACAGAGGUUGAAGGAGCUCCGAUGAUCUGAAGAAAACCGUCUUUUCUCCCAUCACAAGACUUCUGUCAUACUCCAGCGUCCUGACCUUCACAGCAGAAUUUAACUGGUGAGUUUACUCACUAAGUGAUUUAGUAAGAUUUAAUUAUAUAACCAUGAUAUUUCUCAUCUUUCAUCGAUAGAGUUAGCCCUGAACCAAAUCUCUAUUUACUCACAUACAACACGUUUUGUUCGCCUCGUGUUCUACACACACACGAUCAGGCAUAUCCACAUCACACACGUGCAGUCGUAUGGACAUAGGCAAUCAUAGAAGCGGUCAGUCCUUGCUUCGCAAUCAAUCAUUCUAGUCUUUUCCUCAGUUCUCAAAUCUGCUCUUUAUCACUGGGUUUCACUAGGUAAGCGUAGUUUUCCAAGCUCGAUGACGAGUUCCGUUUUCUUGCAAUAUACAAGGUUGGUCUAUAAAUAAACUAAGAACCCUAACUUAAAUAAUGCUUAAACUAAUUGUACGGUACUUCUUAUCCCUAAUCACAUCAUCAAUCAAUCAUCACUAAUCAAUUGAUCACCAUUUCUAAUUCUAAGACUUAACAACAAAUCCAAUUUAUUGGAUUCAUCAUUCUCAACAAACACUGAUCACUAAUCAUGUUCCUUCUGUUCAAGUGUGCAAGUCCAAUUACUGAUUUCCUAAGAAAUAACAAGUAAAGUUCAACUGAACUUUAAUAUAAGAAAACUUGAAGUUAACAAUUCUGAAACAUUUCAACGAUAAAAUUUUGAUAUUUACAUCACUUUGCAUAAGUAUGAAAAUUCAUUGAAUAUAUGGAAUGAGCAAUAUAAAAUUGUAUAACUUACUCUACAUAGUAAAGAACCUAAAUGUAAGUCUGUGCAUGUCACUCUUAAAUUGAUAGAAUGAUAAAUAGAAUAAUAAUUAAUUACUAACUUAAUAAAUCCUAUGUAUUCACUGUUUUGAAUACACUAAGCAAUAAUCUGUAUCAAUUGUAAAUAUCGAGCUGUAGCUAAACUACAUCCUACUUAGUUCUGUACUUUAUACUCCGUAGAGUUGUGUUCUCUCUAAGAAUUAUUUCAACUUAAGACUGUAAUCUACUCUCCACAAAAGUUCCAGGACCAAUGGUUCUUUUCUGUCGUUCUGACUUAUGUGAGUAAUCCUAUCUAAACUGCCAGCAGUUACUCAACACCUUUCUCCAUCCAAUGUCACUAACCCAAUACAACACACCAAUCUCCAAUAAUAUCCUUAUCCUAUCAACCUCUCAACGGGCCUUGUUUACCAGCCUUACAGCGCCUACAAAACUUCCACUCACUUUGUCGGUGUGAAGUUUGUAACAACAUCCAACAUUCUGUGUGAUGAAAAGCCUCAGAAAUCCGUAAAUAUCUCUAAUCAUCACGGGUUCAAGAAUAGACUCACAUAGUACCUUUCUUAGCAUUAAAGCCUACCAGAAACUUUAACCUCGUCCCUGCUGUCUGAGAAUACAGCUAAAUGAAAACAAGUCUGAAAGACCAACACCUAAGCAAUUAUUCCUAUUUCACUGUAACUAAAUUUACCAUCUAUUAAUACAGUGUCAAUAUUCUAAAUGAAGAAUUAAGCUUCAUCUAUAAACUGAGUUUACUUCAGUCUAUGACUAUAAACAUCAAGUAUUCUUAAUAAAACAUGUGAAUGACUGCACAGAGAGUUUAAAUUAUUUACAAGUUGUUUACAAAUGCUUUCUGAUUGAUAAUCAGCUAUUUACAUUUCAUUGAUUAUUUACAUAGAUUACCUUGUAAUCAAUAUUCUAGUUACAUUGUAUUUGUCAGAUUAUCAGAAUUAAUAUUCAGUAUUCUGAUCUGAAUAACAUUAAGUAUUCUGAUAUGUAUAACAUUAAGUAUUCUGAUCUGUAUAACAUGAAGUAUUCUGAUCUUAUAACAUGAAGUAUUCUGAUCUUAACAACUACGGGAAUAGCAUGCUUGACACCUAAGUAACACGUGAUCUUAACAUCCGAACACUCAUGAUGACUAGCUUUGUUUAGUGUGAUCCUAUUUGUAUAUGAUGUAAGAAAUGUAAAUAAAUAAUCAAAGUCAUUAAUCCUGAAAUUAGAAUUGAGUUAACAACUCUAUCAAUAAAUAUCCUUUAAACGACCAAUGUGGAAAAAUCCCAAAGUCAGAUCAAUAUUCAAAGCGAUACCAAAACAACACACAUUCCAGAACAACUUGACAGUUUUAUGUCAAAUGUUACUGACCAAAAGAUAAUCUCUGUUUAAAGAUUGAAAAUCUGACACUAGCCUUUUCCACGUUGGUAGAAUAAUUCUAUCAAUGCAGUAAUUUAAUUUCUCUGACUAGAUAAUUUGAUUAAAUAUUCAGACUGUCAAGAGUCCUAAAAAGGACUGCCUAAAUAUUGUCAUCAAGUCAGAAAUAAAUUCAUAAUAAUAUAAAAUGC